UUUCCGUAGGUGAACCUGCGGAAGGAUCAUUGAAUCUAUCAACCCACCCACUCCUACCAUGCGAACAUACCCCAAUGUCCGUCGUUUAUCUCCCGGGAGGUAACGGCGGCUUCGGUGCGUUGAAUGGCCCCACAAAGGUCUUUUUGCGCAGGGUCGUUGUAAUAAUGAUCAUGUGCACACCUUUUCCCGCAAGGGGAAAGGAAGUCUCCGCGACCUAACACACCGUUGGAGGUGAGGUGCACGCUCGACUCGGUACCCCGUGUAUUUUUUUCUCACCCUCAAACCUCUAUCUAACGUAACAAACAGCCUUGAAAUCGGCUUGGCCGGUUUGCACGCACAUCAUAUACAAAGACAACUCUCAACAACGGAUAUCUUGGCUCUC
This 382-nucleotide unclassified non-coding RNA is filed under the name plant metagenome. RNAcentral's name for it is "partial contains small subunit ribosomal RNA, internal transcribed spacer 1, and 5.8S ribosomal RNA". The record is from RNAcentral.